RNAcentral lists this ribosomal RNA (449 nucleotides) under uncultured bacterium. RNAcentral describes it as "partial 16S ribosomal RNA". It matches the Rfam family "Bacterial small subunit ribosomal RNA", at positions 29 to 523 of the family's 1533-position model. The record is from RNAcentral.
AAUGAACGCUGGCGGCAGGCCUAACACAUGCAAGUCGAACGGAUCCCUCGGGAUUAGUGGCGGACGGGUGAGUAACGCGUGGGAACAUACCCUUUGGUACGGAAUAGCCUCGGGAAACUGGGAGUAAUACCGUAUGUGGUCGAGAGACGAAAGAUUUAUCGCCAAAGGAUUGGCCCGCGUUGGAUUAGGUAGUUGGUGGGGUAAUGGCCUACCAAGCUGACGAUCCAUAGCUGGUUUGAGAGGAUGAUCAGCCACACUGGGACUGAGACACGGCCCAGAGUCCUACGGGAGGCAGCAGUGGGGAAUCUUAGACAAUGGGGGAAACCCUGAUCUAGCCAUGCCGCGUGAUCGAUGAAGGCCUUAGGGUUGUAAAGAUCUUUCAGGUGGGAAGAUAAUGACUGUACCACCAGAAGAAGCCCCGGCUAACUCCGUGCCAGCCGCCGCCGUAA